UUUCCGUAGGUGAACCUGCGGAAGGAUCAUUCACAAUAUAUGAUUUAUGGCUCUUUCCUAACGGGCCUUCUGCCUCUUUUAAGCAACGUUAUUAGACCCUCUAUCGUUAUUUUUUUGGUUACUGAAGUGGGACCCUCUACAGACUAACAACAACCUCUUUUACUUAUUAUUCUCAACAUUUGUAAUCAAAAAUUAACAAAUUUCAAAAAUACAACUUUCAACAAUGGAUCUCUUGGCUAACGCAGCGAUGAGGAACGCCACAGAUCGGAACAGCACACC
This 279-nucleotide unclassified non-coding RNA is filed under the name plant metagenome. RNAcentral describes it as "partial contains small subunit ribosomal RNA, internal transcribed spacer 1, and 5.8S ribosomal RNA". The record is from RNAcentral.